UAUUUUUUGGAUCUGUGUAGAGAUUUCGUCAAAUACCAACCCAUUAGGGCUGAUCAAACUUCCAAGAUAAAUGAAGUU
This 78-nucleotide microRNA precursor is filed under the name Schistosoma mattheei. Its description in RNAcentral is "mir-3492 microRNA precursor family". It matches the Rfam family "mir-3492 microRNA precursor family". Lineage: Eukaryota; Metazoa; Platyhelminthes; Trematoda; Strigeidida; Schistosomatidae. The record is from Rfam by way of RNAcentral.